This 1471-nucleotide ribosomal RNA is filed under the name metagenome. Its description in RNAcentral is "bacterial SSU rRNA". It matches the Rfam family "Bacterial small subunit ribosomal RNA". The record is from RNAcentral.
AGAGUUUGAUUCUGGCUCAGAACGAACGCUGGCGGCGUGGAUAAGACAUGCAAGUCGAACGAGAGAAUUGCUAGCUUGCUAAUAAUUCUCUAGUGGCGCACGGGUGAGUAACACGUGAGUAACCUGCCCCCGAGAGCGGGAUAGCCCUGGGAAACUGGGAUUAAUACCGCAUAGUAUCGAAAGAUUAAAGCAGCAAUGCGCUUGGGGAUGGGCUCGCGGCCUAUUAGUUAGUUGGUGAGGUAACGGCUCACCAAGGCGAUGACGGGUAGCCGGUCUGAGAGGAUGUCCGGCCACACUGGAACUGAGACACGGUCCAGACACCUACGGGUGGCAGCAGUCGAGAAUCAUUCACAAUGGGGGAAACCCUGAUGGUGCGACGCCGCGUGGGGGAAUGAAGGUCUUCGGAUUGUAAACCCCUGUCAUGUGGGAGCAAAUUAAAAAGAUAGUACCACAAGAGGAAGAGACGGCUAACUCUGUGCCAGCAGCCGCGGUAAUACAGAGGUCUCAAGCGUUGUUCGGAAUCACUGGGCGUAAAAGCGUGCGUAGGCUGUUUCGUAAGUCGUGUGUGAAAGGCGCGGGCUCAACCCGCGGACGGCACAUGAUACUGCGAGACUAGAGUAAUGGAGGGGGAACCGGAAUUCUCGGUGUAGCAGUGAAAUGCGUAGAUAUCGAGAGGAACACUCGUGGCGAAGGCGGGUUCCUGGACAUUAACUGACGCUGAGGCACGAAGGCCAGGGGAGCGAAAGGGAUUAGAUACCCCUGUAGUCCUGGCAGUAAACGGUGCACGCUUGGUGUGCGGGGAAUCGACCCCCUGCGUGCCGGAGCUAACGCGUUAAGCGUGCCGCCUGGGGAGUACGGUCGCAAGAUUAAAACUCAAAGAAAUUGACGGGGACCCGCACAAGCGGUGGAGUAUGUGGCUUAAUUCGAUGCAACGCGAAGAACCUUACCUGGGCUUGACAUGUAAUGAACAACAUGUGAAAGCAUGCGACUCUUCGGAGGCGUUACACAGGUGCUGCAUGGCCGUCGUCAGCUCGUGUCGUGAGAUGUUUGGUUAAGUCCAGCAACGAGCGCAACCCCUGUUGCCAGUUACCAGCACGUGAAGGUGGGGACUCUGGCGAGACUGCCCAGAUCAACUGGGAGGAAGGUGGGGACGACGUCAGGUCAGUAUGGCCCUUAUGCCCAGGGCUGCACACGUACUACAAUGCCCAGUACAGAGGGGGCCGAAGCCGCGAGGCGGAGGAAAUCCUAAAAACUGGGCCCAGUUCGGACUGUAGGCUGCAACCCGCCUACACGAAGCCGGAAUCGCUAGUAAUGGCGCAUCAGCUACGGCGCCGUGAAUACGUUCCCGGGUCUUGUACACACCGCCCGUCACAUCAUGGAAGCCGGUCGCACCCGAAGUAUCUGAAGCCAACCGCAAGGAGGCAGGGUCCUAAGGUGAGACUGGUAACUGGGAUGAAGUCGUAACAAGGUA